Molecule: long non-coding RNA, 223 nt
Filed under: Homo sapiens (human)
Lineage: Eukaryota; Metazoa; Chordata; Mammalia; Primates; Hominidae
Description: non-protein coding lnc-CLTC-2:1
Source: RNAcentral
GUCAUCUGAAGAUAAUAUAAAAGACACCAAGUUAAAUGACUUGCAAAUUUUUUUACUUUUUAAAAUUUUUUUAUUUUUUUAGACUUGCAAAUUUUAAUUCACAUUGAGUAAAACAACUUUUGUAAAAUUAUAUACUUUAGAAACAAAUGAAGAUUCUUGUGACUUGUUUAUUCUAUAAGCUGUAUAACCAAAAAGAAAAAUUAAAGAUACUUUAGGAAUAAAA